RNAcentral lists this long non-coding RNA (210 nucleotides) under Ricinus communis (castor bean). Its description in RNAcentral is "long non-coding RNA (RCOM_LNC000651)". Lineage: Eukaryota; Viridiplantae; Streptophyta; Magnoliopsida; Malpighiales; Euphorbiaceae. The record is from RNAcentral.
UACUCAAUUUCAAAAUUUGAGGUCACUAAUUCAAUCCCCCUUCUUGGUUCUAAAAAAUAACAUUAAGUUUAGAAAGCAUAUCAAAGAUUUCAGAGAAUUGCUUAUUUUGUUUACUUUCUUUCAAUCUGUUAAGGAAUGGAAUAGGAGGCUUAUAAGACUCAGCUAUCUUAUAGAACUCAAGUCCAAAAAAUGCCUCUUUAUCUUUUUUCU